GCUAACUCCGUGCCAGCAGCCGCGGUAAUACGGAGGAUCCAAGCGUUAUCCGGAAUCAUUGGGUUUAAAGGGUCCGUAGGUGGAUAAUUAAGUCAGAGGUGAAAUCCUGCAGCUCAACUGUAGAAUUGCCUUUGAUACUGGUUAUCUUGAGUUAUUAUGAAGUAGUUAGAAUAUGUAGUGUAGCGGUGAAAUGCAUAGAUAUUACAUAGAAUACCAAUUGCGAAGGCAGAUUACUAAUAAUCAACUGACACUGAUGGACGAAAGCGUGGGGAGCGAACAGGAUUAGAUACCCUGGUAGUCCAUGCCGUAAACGGUGGGCGCUAGGUGUG
RNAcentral lists this ribosomal RNA (329 nucleotides) under Pseudopedinella elastica. RNAcentral's name for it is "partial Bacterial small subunit ribosomal RNA". It matches the Rfam family "Bacterial small subunit ribosomal RNA", at positions 496 to 824 of the family's 1533-position model. The record is from RNAcentral. Lineage: Eukaryota; Dictyochophyceae; Pedinellales.